GCCAGACACGGUGGCGCACAUCUGUAAUCCCACUGACUCAGGAGGCUGAGGCAGGAGGAUCUUGAGUUCAAAGCCAGCCUCAAUGACUUCAAGACUUAGUGUGGCCCUAAGCAACUCAGUGAGACCCUGUCUCUA
This 135-nucleotide small RNA is filed under the name Marmota monax (woodchuck). The record is from RNAcentral. Lineage: Eukaryota; Metazoa; Chordata; Mammalia; Rodentia; Sciuridae.